RNAcentral lists this unclassified non-coding RNA (309 nucleotides) under Hevea brasiliensis (rubber tree). Lineage: Eukaryota; Viridiplantae; Streptophyta; Magnoliopsida; Malpighiales; Euphorbiaceae. The record is from RNAcentral.
GGCAUAUCUCCAAUCUGCAGAACUCCCAACAAGCCCAUUGACCAUGACAACAAGAUGCUCAGGCUGCAACUUAGCCCUAGCUGAAGCUGCAUCAAACACAUCUUCACCAUCAUUAACUGACUCAAUUUUAACCUUCUGACCCUUCUUAAGACUAUUUCUGAAACACCCUCUGCUUAAUUUCCUCAGCAAUUCCAUUUCCCCUUUCUCAUCCACCCACAACAGCCUACAAUUAUUGACACCCUUAUUGUCAAAUCUUGAUUUUGACUUUGAAAAAAAACUCAAAACUGAGCCAGAUAACUGUGGGACUGA